Molecule: ribosomal RNA, 467 nt
Filed under: uncultured Acidovorax sp.
Lineage: Bacteria; Pseudomonadati; Pseudomonadota; Betaproteobacteria; Burkholderiales; Comamonadaceae
Description: bacterial SSU rRNA
Rfam family: Bacterial small subunit ribosomal RNA
Source: RNAcentral
UUCGGACGGGACCCGCACAAGCGGUGGAUGAUGUGGUUUAAUUCGGUGCAACGCGAAAACCUUACCCACCUUUGACAUGUACGGAAUCCUUUAGAGAUAGAGGAGUGCUCGAAAGAGAGCCGUAACACAGGUGCUGCAUGGCUGUCGUCAGCUCGUGUCGUGAGAUGUUGGGUUAAGUCCCGCAACGAGCGCAACCCUUGCCAUUAGUUGCUACGAAAGGGCACUCUAAUGGGACUGCCGGUGACAAACCGGAGGAAGUGGGGAUGACGUCAAGUCCUCAUGGCCCUUAUAGGUGGGGCUACACACGUCAUACAAUGGCUGGUACAGAGGGUUGCCAACCCGCGAGGGGGAGCUAAUCCCAUAAAGCCAGUCGUAGUCCGGAUCGUAGUCUGCAACUCGACUACGUGAAGUCGGAAUCGCUAGUAAUCGUGGAUCAGAAUGUCACGGUGAAUACGUUCCCGGGUCUU